RNAcentral lists this ribosomal RNA (573 nucleotides) under Vibrio sp. Its description in RNAcentral is "bacterial SSU rRNA". It matches the Rfam family "Bacterial small subunit ribosomal RNA", at positions 469 to 1041 of the family's 1533-position model. Lineage: Bacteria; Pseudomonadati; Pseudomonadota; Gammaproteobacteria; Vibrionales; Vibrionaceae. The record is from RNAcentral.
UUGACGUUAGCGACAGAAGAAGCACCGGCUAACUCCGUGCCAGCAGCCGCGGUAAUACGGAGGGUGCGAGCGUUAAUCGGAAUUACUGGGCGUAAAGCGCAUGCAGGUGGUUUGUUAAGUCAGAUGUGAAAGCCCGGGGCUCAACCUCGGAAUAGCAUUUGAAACUGGCAGACUAGAGUACUGUAGAGGGGGGUAGAAUUUCAGGUGUAGCGGUGAAAUGCGUAGAGAUCUGAAGGAAUACCGGUGGCGAAGGCGGCCCCCUGGACAGAUACUGACACUCAGAUGCGAAAGCGUGGGGAGCAAACAGGAUUAGAUACCCUGGUAGUCCACGCCGUAAACGAUGUCUACUUGGAGGUUGUGGCCUUGAGCCGUGGCUUUCGGAGCUAACGCGUUAAGUAGACCGCCUGGGGAGUACGGUCGCAAGAUUAAAACUCAAAUGAAUUGACGGGGGCCCGCACAAGCGGUGGAGCAUGUGGUUUAAUUCGAUGCAACGCGAAGAACCUUACCUACUCUUGACAUCCAGAGAACUUUCCAGAGAUGGAUUGGUGCCUUCGGGAACUCUGAGACAGGUGC